UUGUGCUCACAUAAAAAAAUGAAUGGGAUGGUGUCGCUGUCUCGCGCGUUGUAGCUGGCGGUGUGAACGGGGAAAAUUGCAUUUUUCAGCAUAAUAUGAGAUGGACUCUACAUUCUGCACUGGCAUGACUGGAAAUAGCCUCCUGAGAGCGUUCCAUAGAUGGCCAACAGUGGACUGACUCGCUAGAAAGACUUUGGCUCUCUCCAAUGUUAAAAACGUGGAUGUUGUUAUAUCGGUACAGAAGGAUCUCUGGCUGAUGUCAAUUUAUAGGCGAACCCGGAAGUCUAAUUUGCCAUGGGUUCCCUCAGGAUUUUCCUAAAGGUUUUUUUUAUAAUGGGGUUUUUGAACUCAAGGGCGGACUUAGCACUAGGCUCCCCCAGAAGCCAAGGGCCCCCUAAAAAUACAAAUAAUAUGCUUUGUUAUUAUCAUUAUUGCUAAUUAACGUCUGCUGAAAUUUUAAAUAUCACUGUAACAACACCAAUAUGAUUGAUAUUGCAGUUAUUUUCAGCACCAUCACUGCAAGCAGCCCCCUUCCCCCUCAGAUCAGGCUGUAAUGGAAUAUUCAAAAUUUUUUUUUUCCCCCAUCUACACAAGUUUGUAAACAGGUGAAAGCGAGCCAAACCGCUCGGAACGUUUUGUGUAAUUUCACCGUAUACUUUGCAAGUUACAAGUUAAGCUACAUUGUUGCUAGUUCAGUUUGGUUUGAAUUUGUGGAUAGAAAAAAUUAAACGGAAUCGAGACUUCCUAAGGUAACACACACUGUCUUUCCAAACGGAUCAGCCGUAUGUGCUCUCACGAGCACAGGCUGCACAGCACUCACUGGCUGUGUCUCGUUUGGAAGGCUGCAUGCUAGGUAGGACGCGUCCUUUGAAGGCUGCAGUAUACCGAGUGUCCUCGUUUAAACGAGACGGCCUUCGUAGGACAAACGGAAACGGAAGGUAUGGUUGCUAUGACAGCACGCCACUCUUUAACAAGCGCGAGCCCUUUGAGUGAGAAGGGAACAAAGUCCCUCUGGAAGGGAAUGUAUGAGGUACAUUUUAGGAGAGUUAUAAUGAUGUUGAGAGAAAAGAAAAUAGAUUUUACAGGUGUACUUUUAGUCUAAUACUUUAUUUUAAUUAUAUAUUAAUAUCAAUAUACAUAUUAUAUACUCUGCACCCAUCUACUGAUUUACUUCAACUUGGGAAUUAGCAUUACUUGCAUUUGAACAUCAUAUUUGCGGGCAAAUUGGUGUUAUUGUUUUUUAGACAUUUCCGUUGAAGCAAAGAAUUGUGGGUUAUGAGUGCCCACGAAGGAUGCAUCCUCCGAAUUCCCGUGAAAGAAGGUCACAUUUGAAGGCUGCAUUCUAAGUAUCCUACUCGCUUUUCUGAAAAGAGACAGCCUCGAUGACGUAUAAAUGCGACCUCCGGAGGACGCAUCCUUACAAACGAGACACAGACAGAGCUUAUUGACGCUAAAGUAAUCUUUUAAUGGGAAUGACAACGAGGCUGUGAGGUAUAGACAUACAAUCUCUUCAGUGGGCUGUACUGCAGUUUAAAGUGUUUUUGGAUCGAUCCGCAGACAAAACAUUGAAAAAAAAUCUUUCCAAGAACAUUCAGUAUAUAAAGACAUGAAUUGUGGAAAAUCAGAUGUGGUCAAGGAGCUUUUUACAGGUUUAUACUGUGCGUGCCAUUGAAGAGAUGGUAAGUCUAUUCCUCACAGCCUCGUUGUCGUUCCCAUUAAAAAUCAAAAAUGGCGCUAGCGUCAAUAAUGUCUAUAAUCACCAAUACACUGUUGCUGGGUUUCCAUCCAAAAUGUUUUGCAUUUUUUAAGCACAUUUCUAAAAAUUUGACUUAAGAAAAUACUAAUUGUUGUCUAGCAUAAUUUAUACUAAUCAUGAGGGAGCCGCCUCGUCAUGAUGGAGCAGCUGAAUAACCUCUCCCUGCUUUGGGGACAGUUUUAUUUGCAAGAUUGGAGCAAGUAUCUCAUUUUAUUAAAUGCAUCCACCAGACACAGCGGAAUAAGUGUAAAAAUGUCCCUUUUUUGGAAACCAUCAAUAGAAAGUCUGUAAUUUAAUCAAUGUUUUUAUUCUUAGAUUUUUAAUCAUAUGAAUUCAACAUUUCAAUGACCUCAUUGUUUGUACUGAAAAAAAAAUUCACUUAAAAAAUACAAAUAAAGUUACAUUUAUUUGAUUAGUCCACACAACAAGAACAUCAUUUAACAUUAAUUUAUGUAACAUUUCAUUUCCAUAAAAUUUGAACAAAAUGACCGUGAUGGGGUGGUAACUGAUGUGGCGGGGUGGUUCACUGUGACAGGGUGGUAUGGACAAAGUGUUUCUCUAUAUGAUUUGCUGGUUUUAAACUUUAUAAAACUGGGGGAGGGGAAACAUUAAAAUUGGAGAUGUAAUGGAAAACUUUGGUCAUGCUCUGAAAAACUGAAAAGAGCAUCAUAACAGUGACUGGGAGAGUCGCAUCCACACAUCCCUCUGGAUUUCCAUGUGGUGGGAUGUCACAGGCUGUGGUGCUUGAAUGAUUUCGAGCACAUCAUCAAAAAGAUACCACAGGAAGUCAUCUCUUGGAGGCCAGAAGAACCUGUUGGCACCAACACGGUGCAUACAUUUUACAAGGGCAUGUGUUUCAUCUGUAUCCAUGAUGAUCCCAGGAUAAAGGUCAUUGUCGUAUUUAAGCACGCACCACUUUCCAAUGAGAUCUCCACUUUCCCAAGCAAUUGCUUCUGUUGGCACCUUUUGGGCUGUCUUGUUAAAAGUGAAAUGCUGUGUGGUGAAGCACUGACACCUCAGCUGCUUUUGCGUGGAGCACAUGCAACUAACUUCCCGGUAAAGGAUUUCUCCUGGAGUGAAUGUGACCACUUGGUGGGUUUUCAUUGUGGCCUGGCAUCUUUUCCAUUGCCUGCUCCACUGCUUCAGAUGCUACAUAAAACAACUUAACAGUUGUAGAUGUUUCUGUGAGGGCCUUAUAUAGCUCAUGGGCAUCGGGUAUGUUGCGACCGUUGGUCACCAGCUUGUCUGCUGUUCUUUUCAAGGUUCCCCCAACACCGUCAGGGGCCCCCUUGCCAUGGCUUGCCUCAAAAAAGUUCCAUGUUCCACCUUUCAGACCUCGUCUUGCGAGCUCUGUGCUGAAAAGGAAGAAAUUCCCUUUCUGUUUGUAUUGGGUACAUGGUCCAUCACUCAGAAAGUGUAGAACAGAUACAUGUGGGUAUGUGGCUUGUAGAUAAUUCAGCACCAGAUUCAUGUGUUCCCAUAUAGCUGGGGGGCUUUUGUGUUUGGUGGGUGACACUGUGCUAAAACAGAUGGGCUCUUUUUCACCACCUAUGUACAAAACACCAGUGUGCAGAGUAGCUUGUUGGUGCAAGGAGCCAAAGUGGACAGCUUGAAUCUCUGAGCUGUAUUUUCAUGUGUAAUUUUCAGAGAAGUCAAUGUGGAUCACUGCCUCCUCUUUUGACAGGUUCUUUUUCAACUCUCUGCAGUAGGAGUACUGUUGAUUUAUGUUGAAUGUGUGUCUUUUGAAUUUAUGAAGAAGAGUGUGGAAUAACUCCACAAGGUUGUCUUGUGUGUCCUCCAUUGUCACUGUGAUCUUAACAGUGGUAGAACCCUCCCUCGCAUCUUCCCUUGCUUUCUCUGCUGUGGCCUAUUGAGUGAAUGCAACCUUUGCUGAGCCAUCAAAUCUGGAGAGCUGAACAGUCUUGUCUUUGCAUUCCUCGCACUCAUCAUACAUGCACAUUUUCCUGGAGGUGUCACAGGUUAUCAUUUUAGUCAAACUCUCGAGAUCUGAAGUAUCUAUGAGCCUCAAAUUAUGCAGCAAAUCUGAGAUUUUCAUGGAUCUUGCACAGACAUGUGCAUUCCGUUCAGAGAGAGUGGGAUGUACAACCCAAAAUGGGCGAACCUUACAGAAAAGGGAGUAUGAUAUGUUGUUUGUGUUUUCAGUGAGAAAUCUUUUGUGAAGAUUUUUCAUUGUGUCAACCAGAAACCUUUUCUGCUUCUUCACCUUGCUCCUGGUAAUUGUUUGUUUUCGUCCAGUCGUUAUUUGACUGUUGUCAUCUCAGGUGAAGAAGGUUUUGACUUUGGACUUGAAAGCAGCAGUGAACCUGUUUGUGGGAUUUCUGUUGGUGGAACAGAAGUCUUCACUCUGAACACUGCAACACUUCUUUGAAAAUCCGAGGGCAUUUCUGGCAAAUCCUUGUAGCCUGUACUUCUUCACAAUCCUCACCGCUGUUACCUUUGCUAUUAGUUGUUUUUCUUUUUCUUUUCUUGCUUUACAGUACUUAUUCUUUAUGUCUUCAAUCAAGGCUUCAUGAUAGAGUAGUGUUUUUCUGAUUUUGGAGCUUACUCUGCCCGUCUUAGUUAAUUCAUUUUAUUUUUGAACGAGGAGAGUCAUUCUUAUUUAAGCGCUUAUAUCUUUUUCUGUAUUUGUCAGCGCGUUUUCUUUCCUUCUCUAGCGAUUUCUUUCGUUUUUCAAUUUCUUUGCAUAGUGUAUCCCUGUUCUUCCUGGAAAUUCGCUUUCCUUCUUUAUGUUGCCUGAAACAAACAAAAAUCUACUGGUAACUUAGGGGUUUAAGUCAUGUACACCAUAUGUAAAAACAAUUACUCAUCAAUGAUAGGCCUGCUUCUUAUUCUCUACGUGUCUAUUUAUUUAUAAUCCUAACUGCGCACUACCCUGACCUUGAAGAUCCUAACUGCUGCUUUGAGUGUUGGACAGGAUCUGGACUCAGAGGAAAGGUGUCCAGACUGUGCUUCCUAGCCUCUGCUUCCUCCACUUUUUACGCAGCUGAUGCUUCCCUCGCUCACUUAGAUCACUAAUCUUUUUCUUUUUUCCUUGCUCUACAUCCCGUCUCCAUCUCUGACCCUCACUCUCUAGAUAUUUUUGCCUACUCUGAGGAUCAGCAUCCCGACGUGAACGGCGUCGCCGUUGUUUCUCAGCAGCGCUUAAUGGAGCCAUGAUGGAGACAGAUCUAUCUGCAAAUGUUAUAAAAUGUAACAUUCUUCAUUAAACACCGAGAGUUAAGAUAAAAAGUUAAGAAAAAAAAAUUACUGUCUGCUCGUAUGAAUGUAACACAUAAGAAAGUGUUUCAUAGCUGUUCAAAUGCACAUUGGAUCGCAUAAUUUAUAUGUAUACAUUUUUCCAUCUGAAAGGACUAAAUAUUAAAUGAAACAAAUGACAAUAAAAUGCAAAGUAAACUCUUCAGUAAUCAAAAUAAUUUUGAAAGUAACUGUAUUCUAAAUACCAAUGAUUUAAAUUGUAACUGUAGUGGAAUAGUUACUUAUAUUUUUUAUUUUAAAUAUGUAAUCCCGUUACAUGUUUUUCAUUACUCCCCAACCCUGGUAAUGCCCCCAUCAAGAUACACUAUAUUGCCAAAAGUAUUCGCUCACCCAUCCAAAUAAUUAAAUUCAGGUGUUCCAAUCACUUCCAUGGCCACAGGUGUAUAAAAUGAAGCACCUAGGCAUGCAGACUGCUUCUACAAACAUUUGUGAAAGAAUGGGCCACUCUCAGGAGCUCAGUGAAUUCCAACGUGGUACUGUGAUAGGAUGCCACCUGUGCAACAAGUCCAGUCGUGAAAUUUCCUCGCUACUAAAUAUUCCACAGUUAACUGUCAGUGUUAUUAUAACAAAGUGGAAGCGAUUGGGAAUGACAGCAACUCAGCCACGAAGUGGUAGGCCACGUAAAAUGACAGAGCGGGGUCAGCGGAUGCUGAGGUUGCAUAGUGUGCAGAGGUCGCCAACUUUCUGCAGAGUCAAUCGCUACAGACCUCCAAAGUUCAUGUGGCCUUCAGAUUAGCUCAAGAACAGUGCGUAGAGAGCUUCAUGGAAUGGGUUUCCAUGGCUGAGCAGCUUCAACCAAGCCAUACAUCACCAAGUGCAAUGCAAAGCGUCGGAUGCAGUGGUGUAAAGCACGCCGCCACUGGACUCUAGAGCAGUGGAGACGCGUUCUCUGGAGUGACAAAUCACGCUUCUCCAUCUGGCAAUCUGACGGACGAGUCUGGGUUUGGCGGUUGCCAGGAGAACGGUACUUGUCUGACUGCAUUGUGCCAACUGUGAAGUUUGGUGGAGGGGGGAUUAUGGUGUGGGGUUGUUUUUCAGAAGCUGGGCUUGGCCCCUUAGUUCCAGUGAAAGGAACUCUGAAUGCUUCAGCAUACCAAGAGAUUUUGGACAAUUCCAUGCUCCCAACUUUGUGGGAACAGUUUGGGGAUGGCCCCUUCCUGUUCCAACAUGACUGCGCACCAGUGCACAAAGCAAGGUCCAUAAAGACAUGGAUGAGCGAGUUUGGUGUGGAAGAACUUGACUGGCCUGAACAAAGUCCUGACCUCAACCCGACAGAGCACCUUUGGGAUGAAUUAGAGCGAAGACUGCGAGCCAGGCCUUCUCGUCUUACAUCAGUGUCUGACCUCACAAAUGCGCUUCUGGAAGAAUGGUCAAAAAUUCCCAUAAACACACUCCUAAACCUUGUGGAAAGCCUUCCCAGAAGAGUUGAAGCUGUUAUAGCUGCAAAGGGUGGGCCGACGUCAUAUUAAACCCUAUGGAUUAAGAAUGGGAUGUCACUUAAGUUCAUAUGCAUCUAAAGGCAGAUAAGCGAAUACUUUUGGCAAUAUAGUGUAUAAUCUAGAUUUAUAAAAUUGAUUUGCCUCUAAAUUCUGAUGGAAUUUUAAAAUUGUUCAAAAAUGCUUAUAUGUUACUGCUGUUGCAAUAACUCACUCAAGGCCUGGUGUUUCAGUGACUCUACCAUGAUUAAGGGGGUUUUGGGUACUCUGCUAAGGUAUACCUGUGGUAAAAUCGCUUUAAGCACAGUUUCGAGUGGCUUAUUGCUUUCUGUAACUAGUUCUUUUGGAGAAGAGCAGAUGCUAUAUAUUAACAGAAGUAUAUGUUGUCGCUUGCUUAUAACUCAAGCUUUUGUCCAGGAAUAUCUUAAAAACGUCAUCUUAAGCUUAUAAAUGCAGGCACUGUUUAUGCAUAUUUAUAUUACUGUAAAAAUGCAAUUCAAUUGUAUCUUUUAAAUGGCUUUUUUUUUUUUUUGAGUCACGGAUACUAUGAAAGUUGAAUUAUUUGCAUCUACAUAAAAACACACGUUAGACCAACAAUAUUUACCCAAAUGUAGCCUUAACUAGCCCAGAGUUGUCUGAACAAACAAUAUUGUAUUGAACAAUGUUGCUGAUUUGUGGGUUGGCACAAUGCGUUGCAACAAACAAUGCUGUUUGUGUUAGAGGCUUAUUUUUUGCAGUUGACUGGCUUUAUUUAUGCUGACUAAAAGCAAUUUCAAAUACCCAUUUACUUGGCAAAUCCAUUCCAGUAAUUUGACAUGAAUGAACUCAACCUUCCUAAGACUUCAAAAUCUCAUGGAAUUAGGCCACAAAAAGAAUCCUGUACAAACAUCUCCUUCCAAACAACUAGAAAGGACAAGUAAUUGUCAGAAACUUUUAUUGAACUACUCGAUGAUAUCAAAUGGGACAAGAGGCAAAUUCUAUUUCAGUAAAAAAAAGGAGGUUGUAGGAGAAGAAAUGCAGUCGUUUUCUCUAGUCCAUUCUGGCCUUUAGGGUGCGUGUGGUGAUCUUAUCCUUCUCA
Myxocyprinus asiaticus (Chinese sucker) is the source of this 7546-nucleotide long non-coding RNA. RefSeq lists it as uncharacterized. NCBI's taxonomy places the organism in Eukaryota, Metazoa, Chordata, Actinopteri, Cypriniformes, Catostomidae. The transcript is spliced from 2 exons. The record is from RefSeq and is a predicted model, not a curated record.